Molecule: small nucleolar RNA, 299 nt
Filed under: Acanthisitta chloris (rifleman)
Lineage: Eukaryota; Metazoa; Chordata; Aves; Passeriformes; Acanthisittidae
Description: Small Cajal body-specific RNA 7
Rfam family: Small Cajal body-specific RNA 7
Source: Rfam by way of RNAcentral
UGGAAGUGAUGAAAUAGAGAUAAUUGGGUGUCUCUGUGAAUGGAGUGUGUGAGAGAGAUGGAAUUGAAGCCAAGGCAGGCUGGGGGUGGGGAAUGCGUGUGUGUGGAUGUGUGGAAAAGGCUUUAAAUGGGGGCACUGAUUGCAGUGCUGAUUCCGGAGUGCAUCUGAGGCGUGUUGUGCACUUCUGGGGCCUCUCUGCAACACUGCCAAUGAUUAAAGCCCAAAACAAGCCCACCAGGAGAAGCCAAGGCAUCCCAAAUCUCUGGCAGGGUCACUAGUGAUCCUGUGAUCUGAUCUCA